CCUGCAAUCCGCUAUAGCAGGGGAGAAUACCUCGCUUGAGGGUCGCAGUUGGGCGGCAGCGCCGCUGAACCGGUGUUGAUGAAUGGGUCCUGUGCAAUGAAGAACCGUGAACCAUGUCAGAUGGGGAACCAAGCAGCAUUAAGUGGUUAUCUUCAUGUGCCGCAGGUCAGCCUGUUCUGAGCCGGAACAGCGGAAAGCGCGCCUGAGUGCGUAUUCGAAGCCAGGG
This 226-nucleotide signal recognition particle RNA is filed under the name Clostridiales bacterium. Its description in RNAcentral is "signal recognition particle sRNA large type". It matches the Rfam family "Bacterial large signal recognition particle RNA", at positions 31 to 250 of the family's 256-position model. From Rfam's summary of the family: The signal recognition particle (SRP) is a universally conserved ribonucleoprotein involved in the co-translational targeting of proteins to membranes. Archaeal SRP consists of a 7S RNA and homologues of the eukaryotic SRP19 and SRP54 proteins. In most bacteria, the SRP consists of a 4.5S RNA and the Ffh protein (a homologue of the eukaryotic SRP54 protein). Lineage: Bacteria; Bacillati; Bacillota; Clostridia; Eubacteriales. The record is from RNAcentral.